GCGGGGUGUAUGUGGUGCGGCACUGCGCGUGCGCGCGAGGCCUCUUGCGUCAUUUAGCCGCGCCUAGGUUUGCCGGCGCCGGCCCUAGGUCCCGGCAGCGGUGGUGACGGCGGUGCCGGAGGUUGUCCUUGGCAGGUUUUCCUCGGCGCUUUUCCAUGGAGGAGGCGGUGCGAACGGCUUCAGCCCCGAAUGCUCGCAUCUCCCACUGGACGGCGACGAAGGCGGUGGCCGUGCGAGCGCAGGACUGGGCGGCCUGUGUGGGGGUGUGAGCCGCGGUGCCCCAGGCUGCGCCGGCGAGGGGAAGCCGCGCGGCCGGCCGGCCGACUAGGGCUCUCCCGGCUGUGAUAGACCUUCAGUUACAGAGAGAGGGAGCAGAGUGGGACCAGGUCUGAGAAUAGUGAAGCAACUCAUUCCUUUCAGGACAUUCCCUCUGAUGUCCUAUUUUCAAACUGUUUGAAGACUGCUUCAUUCUGCCUCUAGUACCAGCGGUUUCUCUGUUCUGUGAUCAAUGUGAUUCACAGGAACUCCUUAAGUAACAAACGAAAUGAGCCAGGGGCGUGGAAAAUAUGACUUCUAUAUUGGUCUGGGAUUGGCUAUGAGCUCCAGCAUUUUCAUUGGAGGAAGUUUCAUUUUGAAAAAAAAAGGCCUCCUUCGACUUGCCAGGAAAGGCUCUAUGAGAGCAGGUCAAGGUGGCCAUGCAUAUCUUAAGGAAUGGUUGUGGUGGGCUGGACUGCUGUCAAG
Molecule: long non-coding RNA, 741 nt
Filed under: Pan troglodytes (chimpanzee)
Lineage: Eukaryota; Metazoa; Chordata; Mammalia; Primates; Hominidae
Description: long non-coding RNA NONPTRT005545
Source: RNAcentral